CGGGAAAAGCUCAAAUUUAAAAUCUGGCGGUUUCGGCCGUCCGAGUUGUAAUCUGGAGAAGCGUUUUCCGCGUUGGACCGUGCACAAGUUUCCUGGAACGGAGCGUCAUAGAGGGUGAGAAUCCCGUCUUUGGCACGGACCCCAAUGCUUUGUGAUACGCUCUCAAA
This 167-nucleotide ribosomal RNA is filed under the name Acanthobasidium phragmitis. RNAcentral describes it as "partial large subunit ribosomal RNA". It matches the Rfam family "Eukaryotic large subunit ribosomal RNA", at positions 99 to 261 of the family's 3401-position model. Lineage: Eukaryota; Fungi; Basidiomycota; Agaricomycetes; Russulales; Stereaceae. The record is from RNAcentral.